Molecule: ribosomal RNA, 253 nt
Filed under: uncultured bacterium
Lineage: Bacteria
Description: partial 16S ribosomal RNA
Rfam family: Bacterial small subunit ribosomal RNA
Source: RNAcentral
UACGGGGGGGGCAAGCGUUGUUCGGAAUUACUGGGCGUAAAGGGCUCGUAGGUGGCCAACUAAGUCGGACGUGAAAUCCCUCAGCUUAACUGGGGAACUGCGUCCGAUACUGGAUGGCUUGAGUUUGGGAGAGGGAUGCGGAAUUCCAGGUGUAGCGGUGAAAUGCGCAGAUAUCAGGAGGAACACCGGUGGCGAAGGCGGGACUCUGGGCCGAUACUGACGCUGAGGAGCGAAAGCGUGGGGAGCGAACAGG